This is a long non-coding RNA of Chelonia mydas (Green sea turtle), 1490 nucleotides long. RefSeq lists it as uncharacterized. The transcript is spliced from 2 exons. The record is from RefSeq and is a predicted model, not a curated record. NCBI's taxonomy places the organism in Eukaryota, Metazoa, Chordata, Testudines, Cheloniidae.
UACUGCGCCUGCGCGUUGGGUUUCGCGGGACGAGUGGGCGGAUGCCCGGUGGGCUAUCGCGUGUGGGGUGGAGGGUGACGGCAGAAUGUUACAUUUCCAAGAGCGCAUGCGCGUUGGGUCUCUGAGGCGAGCUCAGAGGCAAGGAGCAACUUCUGACGUGGUGGCUUUGGAAGAUGCCCCUUCCAUGCCAACAGGAUACCUGAUUCUGAUGAGGAAAAGAAGGAAGAAGACUAGGGAAAACAUGUUCUGCAAGAUCCUGUCAGCCAGUGCUGCAUCGAACUGUGAACAAAGGGCUUGGACAACCAAUAUGACUGGGAACAUGGAGAGAAAAAGAGAGGAGAGGCAACAAGUCAGAGUCCCAGCAAGACAAAUAGUGGGAAAUGCAUUAUGAGUCUUCUCAGACAGCAAACUCAAAUAUUGCAGACCCUUGUUGUCGUACUGGUCCAAGAAACCAAGACUCACAGCCUUUGCACUCUGGAGAGCUUGAUGGUUGCUGAUCCUUAUACCCCACAACAUACCGCAUUGCAUUGUAGACUGCAUCCUUACCCCUACAACUCCAUGCUGGCGGACAACAAGGAAGACCACAGCUCCGCAUACACUGGCCUGUGGAACCCUCAGAUUAGUGUAUGUAUAGCCACAACAGAUUACGUUGAACUAUCAUUUUGUUUACACAAAUGGACAUAAAUGUUUACUUCCUUUUCAAUAGGAAUUUUUAAGUGUCACCCUGUUAAGUUGUUAGAAGUUUGUAUGACAUAUGUCGUUGUUUGCACUUCAAUUUUUGUGCACUGAAUUUUUGUACUCAAAGUUCUAUUUUUGGAGAAUUAAAAUAUCUUUAUUAGUUCACAAAAAAUAUUGCAGAGUGCAUAGUGGCAGUCAAGAAAUCAAACAGUACUUAUAAAUUUACACCAAGCACCACAGAAUCCAUAUCAUCAUGACCUGACAAAGCCAUAUUUAUAAAUGUACAGCAAGCUCCACACAAUUUAGAGUGGCAGGCAAAGACCCAGGGCCAGUACUAUUUGUAAUUUGCAGCAGGUGCUACAGAACAGAUAUCACCAGGCAAAAACCAAAUAAUACAUAAUCUUAAUUACACAAGAGAGACAACGUCUCAAGACAGAAUACUGUUGUGCCAGUCUGUUAAAAUGAACCUUUACGCAUCCCUCAAAUGCAUAGCUCCACAGCGGGCUCUUGGAAUAGCCCUAGUGUCGGGCUGUUCAGAUUCUGUAGACAACUGCUCCAGCUUGCCCCUGGUGGCAGCUUUUGCCUCAGAUAUUAUGCAGUACACAACAUGCAACUAUAACCAUGGGGAUGCUUUUCUCACUGAGAUCUAAUCUAGUGAGCAAACACUGCCAGCAACUUUUCGUCCUAUCAAAAGUACGUUCCACAGUCAUUCUGCACCUACUAAGCCAGUAGUUGAAUCUUUUCUUGGCACUAUCCAGAUGACCAGUGUAUGCCUUCUUAAGCUACGGGGGCAAGGUGUAGGCUAGGUCCCC